AUGAUGCUCAUCUUUGUGCCGCUGCUGCUGCUGCAAACUGCUGCAUGUCUGGAUCGGUUCUGCAGUUUUAAUCAAUCAGAUCCCUGUUACGCAACUCUGGGAGACAAACUUAGUCUGCAGAUGCUGGACGCUCGUGAAUAUGACCUGAAGAUACAUAAGAGGAUAAACAGCACACAAGAUGAUCCAGUUUGUAGAGUAAAGAAUGACAGGAUGAGGAUGAGUCAGUGUGAUCUUUAUAAUAACAGAACUGAUGUGACAGUCAUUAAUGGGACUCUGAUAAUAAACCGUGUGAUCAGAGCAGAUUCAGGGAAUUACAGGUUAACUCUCGUUCACUCAGACGGCACAGAAACAUCUAGAGAUCUUCAAGUGAUUGUUGAAGCUCCUAUUGGCUCAGUGGAAGUGUCAAUCAUCUGCUCCUCCAAUCAGACGUCAGUGUUCUGCUCCUCUAAAGGCGAUCAGAUCAUCUACAGCUGGACUCUGAAUGGAAAAGUACUAGAAGAAGGACUAAUGUUUGGAAACAGCAGCAUUGAUCUGGAUGAGGGAACUGAUGGAGACAUCAGCUGCAGCGUGAAGAACAACGUCAGUCACGCACAGAAGACCAUUAGACUCAAACCCUGUCCUGGAGCAACUACUGAAGCUGUGACCUCUAGUGUGACCUCUAGUGUGACCUCUGCAGUGACCAGCAGCACACAGACAUCAGAAGGUGUGUGUUCAGUGUCUCUGGUGUUUGUGUUGGUCUGGUGUCUUCAGCUGAUGGUUCUUUUGGGUCUGUUAGGAGCUUUUCACAUCUACAUGAGACACACUUGAGAAGAUGAUGAUGAUGAUGAUGAUGAUGUGAUGCUUUUAGGAAAGAAGCAGAAAGAUCAGAAAGUGAGGAUGAGAAGAUUGAGAGAAGGACAUGAACACACAGCAGAAGAUUCAUGAAAGCAGCAGCAUAUCAUCAAAUCUAUGAGAAAUGACUUCCUAUAAUGUCACCGAUUCUCACAUCAAUCCAGCUUUCAUCUGUCUUUUAUUUUUUUUUAGUCAGAUCUGCUAGAUGGUGAAGUCAUUUGUUUAUUUUCACAUUUCUGCUCUUGCUCAUUUACUUUUUUCUAUUGGUUUUGGUUGAUUUCUCUUAAUUUUCAGUGUCUAUUUAGAUGUUUUAUCUGUUUAAAGCUCUUGCUCCAUUUCUUAGUUUUGGGGUGCCUGUUUUUUUUUUUUAAGUGACUUUUUAGAUGACUUUUAACAUGUUUAAUUUGUGCAUUUGUAAAUGGAGUCAGUGUUGGAAAUAACAUGCAUUGAAAUAAAACUGUAUUUGCAGUCA
Long non-coding RNA from Cyprinus carpio (common carp), 1303 nucleotides. The record is from Ensembl. Lineage: Eukaryota; Metazoa; Chordata; Actinopteri; Cypriniformes; Cyprinidae.